This 617-nucleotide long non-coding RNA is filed under the name Heterocephalus glaber (naked mole-rat). Its description in RNAcentral is "lncRNA (ENSHGLG00100045750.1)". The record is from RNAcentral. Lineage: Eukaryota; Metazoa; Chordata; Mammalia; Rodentia; Bathyergidae.
UAACUUUAAAAAGUUUAACUUUAUUUAGACAGAAAACUUGGAUAAAGUUUUGCAGAGGAAGCAGAGCCAAAUAAGAGCGAAUUUCACUUCACCAAGUCAGAGAAGGAAAGCCCCAUGGCCAGAAGAUUCAAGACCAAAGACCAAUAUGGAGAGAUGAUGAUCAGCAGGAAACAGCAGUCAAGGCUUUGCUGCAGCACUGACUUCACAGAUGAAAACUGACAGCAUUGUCUAUCUCUCAUCUUUUGGCUUGGGGAUUCUUGAGAACAGUGGCAUAGGUUGGAUGUGAGUACUUAUUAACUCUCCAUGUGCCACAGUUUGAUUAAUGGUGAAGGAAACUUGUUUCCCUGAUGUAAAUAUUCCAAGGCAUAGUCUCUAAGACACUUCAGAAGGUCUUGGCUAUUUUGAGGUGUCCACUAAAACGAUCAACACUGGCAUAUCAUCAAUGACUUUCCUUCCUUCUCUGUUCAUUCUCAUUCUUCCUUACCUUUUUCUCAUCUCACUACUCAAACAAACAAACAAACAAACAGAAACUACCUUAACAAAAGCCUUUUUCUGUUUCUGCUUUUGGGUGGGGGAUGCAAAACUCAGGGUAACAUUCAAGUGUAAGAAGAAAAAAG